RNAcentral lists this ribosomal RNA (433 nucleotides) under uncultured bacterium. RNAcentral describes it as "partial 16S ribosomal RNA". It matches the Rfam family "Bacterial small subunit ribosomal RNA", at positions 29 to 507 of the family's 1533-position model. The record is from RNAcentral.
AACGAACGCUGGCGGCAGGCCUAACACAUGCAAGUCGAGCGAGGACUUCGGUCCUAGCGGCGGACGGGUGAGUAACGCGUGGGAACGUGCCCUUUGCUUCGGAAUAGCCCUGGGAAACUGGGAGUAAUACCGGAUGAGCCCCUUGGGGGAAAGAUUUAUCGGCGAAGGAUCGGCCCGCGUUGGAUUAGGUAGUUGGUGGGGUAAUGGCCUACCAAGCCGACGAUCCAUAGCUGGUUUGAGAGGAUGAUCAGCCACACUGGGACUGAGACACGGCCCAGACUCCUACGGGAGGCAGCAGUGGGGAAUCUUAGACAAUGGGGGAAACCCUGAUCUAGCCAUGCCGCGUGAGCGAUGAAGGCCUUAGGGUUGUAAAGCUCUUUCAGCUGGGAAGAUAAUGACGGUACCAGCAGAAGAAGCCCCGGCUAACUCCGUG